CCUACGGGAGGCAGCAGUAGGGAAUCUUCCACAAUGGACGAAAGUCUGAUGGAGCAACGCCGCGUGAGCGAUGAAGGCCUUCGGGUCGUAAAGCUCUGUUGUUAGGGAAGAACAAGUACCGGAGUAACUGCCGGUACCUUGACGGUACCUAACCAGAAAGCCACGGCUAACUACGUGCCAGCAGCCGCGGUAAUACGUAGGUGGCAAGCGUUGUCCGGAAUUAUUGGGCGUAAAGCGCGCGCAGGCGGUCCUUUAAGUCUGAUGUGAAAGCCCACGGCUCAACCGUGGAGGGUCAUUGGAAACUGGGGGACUUGAGUGCAGAAGAGGAAAGCGGAAUUCCACGUGUAGCGGUGAAAUGCGUAGAGAUGUGGAGGAACACCAGUGGCGAAGGCGGCUUUCUGGUCUGUAACUGACGCUGAGGCGCGAAAGCGUGGGGAGCAAACAGGAUUAGAUACCCUGGUAGUCCACGCCGUAAACGAUGAGUGCUAAGUGUUAGGGGGUUUCCGCCCCUUAGUGCUGCAGCUAACGCAUUAAGCACUCCGCCUGGGGAGUACGGCCGCAAGGCUGAAACUCAAAGGAAUUGACGG
RNAcentral lists this ribosomal RNA (587 nucleotides) under uncultured bacterium. Its description in RNAcentral is "bacterial SSU rRNA". It matches the Rfam family "Bacterial small subunit ribosomal RNA", at positions 338 to 916 of the family's 1533-position model. The record is from RNAcentral.